CACGCCCUAAACGAUGAUCUCUAGCUUAUCGGAGUAUCGACCCUCUGAUAGGCGAAGCUAACGCGUUAAGAGAUCCGCCUGGGUAGUACGGCCGCAAGGCUAAAACUCAAAAGAAUAGACGGGGACUUGCACAAGCAGUGGAUCAUGUGGUUUAAUUCGACGCUAAACGAAGAACCUCACCAGGACUUGAAAUUCAGUUGAAAGCUCUAAGAAACUAGAGCCCUCUCACAAGGACAACUGGACAGGUGA
Molecule: ribosomal RNA, 249 nt
Filed under: uncultured Parcubacteria group bacterium
Lineage: Bacteria
Description: partial 16S ribosomal RNA
Rfam family: Bacterial small subunit ribosomal RNA
Source: RNAcentral